CCUACGGGGGCAGCAGUAGGGAAUCUUCCACAAUGGACGAAAGUCUGAUGGAGCAACGCCGCGUGAGUGAAGAAGGGUUUCGGCUCGUAAAGCUCUGUUGGUAGUGAAGAAAGAUAAAGGGAGUAACUGGCCUUUAUUUGACGGUAAUUACUUAGAAAGUCACGGCUAAAUACGUGCCAGCAGCCGCGGUAAUACGUAGGGGGGAAGGGUUGUCCGGAUUUAUUGGGCGUAAAACGAGUGCAGGCGGGUCAAUAAGUGUGAU
Molecule: ribosomal RNA, 262 nt
Filed under: uncultured bacterium
Lineage: Bacteria
Description: partial 16S ribosomal RNA
Rfam family: Bacterial small subunit ribosomal RNA
Source: RNAcentral